GCGGAGGAAAAGAAACCAACAGGGAUUGCCUCAGUAACGGCGAGUGAAGCGGCAACAGCUCAAAUUUGAAAUCUGGCUCCUUCGGGGCCCGAGUUGUAAUUUGCAGAGGAUGCUUCGGGUACGGGUUCCUUCCGAGUUCCCUGGAACGGGACGCCAUAGAGGGUGAGAGCCCCGUCUGGUAGGACACCCAGCCCGUGUGAAGCUCCCUCGACGAGUCGAGUAGUUUGGGAAUGCUGCUCUAACGGGAGGUAUACUCCUUCCAAGGCUAAAUACCGGCUGGAGACCGAUAGCGCACAAGUAGAGUGAUCGAAAGAUGAAAAGCACUUUGAAAAGAGAGUCAAAUAGCACGUGAAAUUGUUGAAAGGGAAGCGCUCGCUACCAGACAUGGGUUCGGCGGUUCAACCGGGGCCACGCCCCGGGGCACUCCGCCGGCCCAGGCCAGCAUCAGCUUUCCGUCGGGGGCAAAGGCGUCGGGAAUGUGGCUCUCCUUCGGGGGAGUGUUAUAGCCCGGCGUGUCAUACCCUUCGGGGGGCUGAGGUACGCGCUUCUGCAAGGAUGCUGGCGUAAUGGUAGCUAGUGACCCGUCUUGAAACACGGACCAAGGAGUCAACCUUAUGUGCGAGUGCCCGGGCGUAAAACCCCAGCGCGGAAUGAAAGUGAACGUAGGUGAGAGCUUCGGCGCAUCACCGACCGAUCCUGAUGUCCUCGGACGGAUUUGAGUGAGAGCAUAUAGGGUUGGACCCGAAAGAAGAUGAACUAUGCGUGUGUAGGGUGAAGCCAGAGGAAACUCUGGUGGAGGCUCGCAGCGGUUCUGACGUGCAAAUCG
RNAcentral lists this unclassified non-coding RNA (826 nucleotides) under Gibellulopsis serrae. Its description in RNAcentral is "sequence contains 28S rRNA gene". It matches the Rfam family "Eukaryotic large subunit ribosomal RNA", at positions 50 to 900 of the family's 3401-position model. Lineage: Eukaryota; Fungi; Ascomycota; Sordariomycetes; Glomerellales; Plectosphaerellaceae. The record is from RNAcentral.